Molecule: ribosomal RNA, 2484 nt
Filed under: human gut metagenome
Description: eukaryotic LSU rRNA
Rfam family: Eukaryotic large subunit ribosomal RNA (bases 289-2484)
Source: RNAcentral
ACUCUAUACGAUGGAUAUCUUGGCUCUUGAAUCGAUGAAGAACGCAGCGAAAUGCGAUAAGUAAUGCGAAUUGCAGAACUCUGUGAGUCAUCAAAUCUUUGAACGCAUAUUGCACUUCCUUUUGGGAGUAUACUUGUUUGAGUGUAGUUAAAGGUUUCUAUCUAUAAUAGAUGAAUAUUGGAGUUAGUAUACUAUACUUUCUCUAAAAUGAAUAUAUUCGUAUAUAAGAAUAGUAUUUGAGGUAGUUGCCACAAGUACUAUAUUAUAUAAGAAUAUAUUUAAUAAGAUCUAUCUCAAAUCAAGUAAGAUUACCUGCUGAAUUGAAGCAUCUAAGUAAGCAGAGGAAAAGAAAAUAACAAUGAUUCUCUUAGUAACGGCGAGUGAAUAGGGAAUAGCCCAAGCUUAAAUCAGCUUUGCUGAGUUGUAGUGUGUAGAAUCUAACUUUUGUUCAGUGUUAAUAUCAUAUAAUUUGGUUGGAAAACCAAGUAAUAGAAGGUGAUAACCCUGUAAUAUGAUAUGACUGAAUGUUGGAUUCUUGGAGUCGAGUUGUUUGGGAAUGCAACUCGAAGUGGGUGGUGAACUCCAUCUAAGGCUAAAUAUGUUCAAGAGACCGAUAGUGAACAAGUACCGUGAGGGAAAGAUGAAAAGAACUUUGAGAAAAGAGUGAAAUAGUACUUGAAAUCGUAUAGAGGUUAAGCAGAGUUGGUGGAUAUUGUAUUUGAAUGUACUAUAAUCAAUUGAUUAUGGCUUAUUCUUAUACAUAGUAUAAUUUGUGUGUGAAUUGGUUAAUAUUAAAACGAAUAUGCGCAUAAAUGAUAUAAAUCCUACAUCUCUGUCCCGUCUUGAAACACGGACCAAGGAGUCUAUCCUGUAUGCAAGUUGUAUGGUGUAAAACCAAUAAGCGUAAUGAAAGUAAGAGGUGUGAAAGUUGUAAAAGUGUCAACACCUGCCGAUCUAAAUUCUUUGAUGAAAGAUUCGAGUAUGAGCAUAUAGGGUGGGACCCGAAAGAUGGUGAACUAUGCCUGAAUAGGACGAAGCCAGGGGAAACUCUGGUGGAGGUUCGAGUGGAUUCUAACGUGCAAAUUGAUCUUUAAAUUUGGGUAUAGGGGCGAAAGACUAAUCGAACCAUCUAGUAGCUGGUUCAUUCCGAAAUUUCCCUCAGGAUAGCUGCAACUUAUGAAAUAGUUUUAUGAGGUAAAGCGAAUGAUUAGAGGUUUCUGGGAUGGAAUAUCCUGGACCUAUUCUCAAACUUUCAAUGGGUAAGAAAAGUGUGAUGUUUAAUUAAUCAUACUAUUUGAAUAUGAGUUGCAAGUGGGCCAUUCCGGGUAAGCUGGACUGGCAAUGCGGGAUCAACCGAACGCUAUGUUACGGCGCCAGAUUGUUCGCUCAGUUGGAUGUAAAAGGUGUUAGUUCAUCUAGACAGCAGGACGGUGGCCAUGGAAGUCGGAAUCCGCUAAGGAGUGUGUAACAACUCACCUGCCGAAUGAAGUAGCCCUGAAAAUGGAUGGCGCUUAAGCGAACAGCCUAUACAUAGCCAUUAUUGUUAGGAUUAUACAAUAAUGAGUAGGAAUGCGUGAUGAAUGUUGUGAAGUAUGAUGUGUGAACAUGUAUGGAACAUUCAUUAGUGCAGAUCUUGGUGGAAGUAGCAAAUAUUCAAAUGAGAUCUUUGAAGACUGAAGUGGAGAAAGGUUCCAUAGGAAUAGUGAUUAUCUAUGGGUUAGUCGAUCCUAAGAGAUAGGUGAAAUCCAUUGAAAAGUCAAUUUCGAUUGACAUUUAUCGAAAGGGAAUCAGGUUAAUAUUCCUGAACCAAAGAGAAGGGUAAACGGUAACGUAUAGGGGUCUCAAGACAUUGAUGUUAUUCCCAGGAAGAGUUUUCUUUUCUUGUUAACAAAUGGGCAGUGCUUGGAAUCGAUUCAGUCGGCGAUAAGCAUUGUUAUUUGGUAAAGUACUACUAUUUUGUGUAGUAUCUGGUGCAAUGACAUGAAUCCUUGAAAAUUGAGACUUUUGUUUUCCCGAAGCUUUGGUCGUACUAAUAACCGCAUCAGGUCUCCAAGGUGAAUAGCCUCUAGUUAAUAGAAUAAUGUAGAUAAGGGAAGUCGGCAAAUUAGAUCCGUAACUUCGGGAUAAGGAUUGGCUCUGAGGGCUAAGUGGGUUUAAGGUGUUAAUAGUAUAAGUUUGAUAUGGGAUUGAGUGUUUUGAGUUGCUUCGGUGAUUUGAAAUAUUUGGUUCUAAUGUCUUAGUUGUCUAUUUUCAUCUACCACUAUGAAUAGCUAACUCAGAACUGGUACGGACAAGGGGAAUCCGACUGUUUAAUUAAAACAAAGCAUUGUGAUGGUGUGAAAGAUAUGUUGACACAAUGUGAAUUCUGCCCAGUGCUCUGAAUGUGAAAGUGGCGUAAUUCAAGCAAGCGCGGGUAAACGGCGGGAGUAACUAUGACUCUCUUAAGGUAGCCAAAUGCCUCGUCAUCUAAUUAGUGACGCGCAU